This 25-nucleotide non-coding RNA is filed under the name Cricetulus griseus (Chinese hamster). The record is from RNAcentral. Lineage: Eukaryota; Metazoa; Chordata; Mammalia; Rodentia; Cricetidae.
UAGGAGGUGGCCAGAACCAAACUGU